RNAcentral lists this ribosomal RNA (253 nucleotides) under uncultured bacterium. RNAcentral describes it as "partial 16S ribosomal RNA". It matches the Rfam family "Bacterial small subunit ribosomal RNA", at positions 524 to 776 of the family's 1533-position model. The record is from RNAcentral.
GACAGAGGCCUCGAGCGUUAGGCGGAAUCACUGGGCUUAAAGCGUGUGUAGGCGGACCCCUAAGUGUCUUGUGAAAUCCCACGGCUCACCCGUGGAACCGCUGGGCAUACUGGGGGUCUUGGGCCAUUCAGGGGCAACUGGAACAAGCGGUGGAGCGGUGAAAUGCGUAGAUAUCGCUUGGAACGCCGACGGUGAAAACAGGUUGCUGGGAAUGCGCCGACGCUGAGACACGAAAGCCAGGGGAGCAAACGGG